UGGAUCCAUUAAGCGCCAGGGCUUAACCGCACAGAACGGAGAAUAUUGUGCAGGGUAAGUCGACGAGGUGAAGGUGUUCGAAACAUUCGGCGGGGACCUUCCGGUAUUGCAUCAUACCGUAUGGCUGUAACGGAAAACGAGUUGGCAACGGCUCGGACAACGUUAGGGCGAGAUGCUUC
Molecule: non-coding RNA, 179 nt
Filed under: Paenibacillus selenitireducens
Lineage: Bacteria; Bacillati; Bacillota; Bacilli; Caryophanales; Paenibacillaceae
Description: GlcN6P sequence
Rfam family: glmS glucosamine-6-phosphate activated ribozyme aptamer
About the family: This entry contains a glucosamine-6-phosphate activated ribozyme that is found in the mRNA for GlmS.
Source: Rfam by way of RNAcentral